AUGGUGCACGGGUGCUGCCCCACCCCUAUGCAGCUCGGUCGCCACCCCCUGUGCAACUCGGUUGCGUCCGUCUCUCCUUUCCCCUCACCCACGCCGAUUAGGGGAGCGAGGAGCGGCGGCGGCGGAGCUUUCUCAUGGCAAAGGGAGGUGCGGGCGCACGGGGCUCCACGGGCGGCAUCUGUAGUUCAAUCCAUGCAAGAUGAGAUGAUCCUCCUCCUGGCCGAACAGUUCAGAAAGAAGGAUUGUGCUCACAGUAUGCAGGUGUUGUGGUCGUGCAUCUCGGAAAUGCUCGCGAUGCCGUUCAGAGCUUGUGCCCGUGCAGUACGGCGAGCGCCAUCUCUUCCCAUUGGUCGGUGGACCAUGGCCGUGCAGCUCGGAGAUGCUCGCCAUGUGGUUCGGGACUUGUCUGUGUGCAGUCGGGAGAGCGCCAUCUCCAUCUCUUCCCGUGUGGUCCGUCGACCAUGGUUGUGCAGCUCGCAGACCCUCGUCGUUCGGUUCAGGGCUCAUGCGUGUGCAGUCCUGCGAGGGCCAUCUCUUCCCUUGCUCGUAAGGUUCUUUUGA
This 561-nucleotide ribosomal RNA is filed under the name Triticum aestivum (bread wheat). RNAcentral describes it as "partial small subunit ribosomal RNA". Lineage: Eukaryota; Viridiplantae; Streptophyta; Magnoliopsida; Poales; Poaceae. The record is from RNAcentral.